This 495-nucleotide ribosomal RNA is filed under the name uncultured bacterium. RNAcentral's name for it is "partial 16S ribosomal RNA". It matches the Rfam family "Bacterial small subunit ribosomal RNA", at positions 28 to 507 of the family's 1533-position model. The record is from RNAcentral.
GACGAACGCUGGCGGCGUGCCUAAUACAUGCAAGUCGAACGCUGAAGGAGGAGCUUGCUUCUCUGGAUGAGUUGCGAACGGGUGAGUAACGCGUAGGUAACCUGCCUGGUAGCGGGGGAUAACUAUUGGAAACGAUAGCUAAUACCGCAUAAUAGUAGAUGUUGCAUGACAUUUGCUUAAAAGGUGCAAUUGCAUCACUACCAGAUGGACCUGCGUUGUAUUAGCUAGUUGGUGGGGUAACGGCUCACCAAGGCGACGAUACAUAGCCGACCUGAGAGGGUGAUCGGCCACACUGGGACUGAGACACGGCCCAGACUCCUACGGGAGGCAGCAGUAGGGAAUCUUCGGCAAUGGACGGAAGUCUGACCGAGCAACGCCGCGUGAGUGAAGAAGGGUUUCGGAUCGUAAAGCUCGGUUGUAAGAGAAGAACGAGUGUGAGAGUGGAAAGUUCACACUGUGACGGUAGCUUACCAGAAAGGGACGGCUAACUACGUG